AAUGAACGCUGGCGGCGCGCCUAAUACAUGCAAGUCGAGCGAGAAGACGUAGCAAUACGUUUGUAAAGCGGCGAACGGGUGAGGAAUACAUGGGUAACCUACCCUCGAGUGGGGAAUAACUAGCCGAAAGGUUAGCUAAUACCGCGUACGCUUCUUGGACUUCGGUUCAGGGAGGAAAGCGAUGCCGAGGGUAUCGCGCUCUUGGAUGGGCUCAUGUCCUAUCAGCUUGUUGGGAGGUAACGGCUCACCAAGGCUUCGACGGGUAGCUGGUCUGAGAGGACGAUCAGCCACACUGGCACUGCGACACGGGCCAGACUCCUACGGGAGGCAGCAGUAAGGAAUAUUGCGCAAUGGGCGAAAGCCUGACGCAGCGACGCCGCGUGGGGGAUGAAGGUCUUCGGAUUGUAAACCCCUUUCGGGAGGGAAGAUGGAAUGGGGUAACCCAUUCGGACGGUACCUCCAGAGCAGCCACGGCUAACUUCGUGCCAGCAG
This 492-nucleotide ribosomal RNA is filed under the name uncultured bacterium. RNAcentral's name for it is "bacterial SSU rRNA". It matches the Rfam family "Bacterial small subunit ribosomal RNA", at positions 29 to 514 of the family's 1533-position model. The record is from RNAcentral.